UACGGAGGAUGCAAGCGUUAUCCGGAUUUACUGGGCGUAAAGCGCGUGUAGGUGGUUCUGUAAGUAGGGCGUGAAAGCUCCCGGCUCAACUGGGAGAGGCCGUUCUAAACUGCAGAGCUAGAGGAUGGUAGAGGGAGGUGGAAUUCCAGGUGUAGCGGUGGAAUGCGCAGAUAUCUGGAGGAACACCAGUGGCGAAGGCGGCCUCCUGGACCAUUCCUGACACUCAGACGCGAAAGCUAGGGUAGCAAACGGGAUUAGAUACCCGCGUA
RNAcentral lists this ribosomal RNA (269 nucleotides) under uncultured prokaryote. RNAcentral's name for it is "partial 16S ribosomal RNA". It matches the Rfam family "Bacterial small subunit ribosomal RNA", at positions 524 to 792 of the family's 1533-position model. The record is from RNAcentral.